Pocillopora verrucosa is the source of this 1957-nucleotide non-coding RNA. Lineage: Eukaryota; Metazoa; Cnidaria; Anthozoa; Scleractinia; Pocilloporidae. The record is from RefSeq and is a predicted model, not a curated record.
GUGUGAAUUUCGUUCAAAGCGAAAUGGAUUUUGCUGCAGUGGCAAGUGAAACAGUCAAAUUUACAGAAAUGUAUAUCAUGGAAGCGAAAAAGGCUUGAGAUAAUUAACAAAAUAGAAGCUAAAAGGGCGAGCAGCGCCACCAGAGAACCAAACGUAAACACACUACGUUGGUCGGUAUUAAGGGCUAGGAUGAUGUUGGGGACGAAGUGAUUCCAUCGCCAACAGUGUCGGCUUUUUAACGAAAACUGAAAACUUGAGUAGUUCGUGUCACUUCUCUGAAUAGAAGUGUAGUGGAUAUCCUGGGAAAAGCUUAAAGAUAUCGCUUUGGUGUCAAUCCGUCAGGAACACAAUUUCUGCAGCUCCUGAGGAGACGUUAUGUUCGAUUAACAUGUGCUCCAGGUUGGUUCAACUCUCCUAACAAAUGUCUGUAUGAUAUUAUCACUACCACUGCUGGCAGCACAUAAUUAUGUGACAUUGUACUGGGUACACUUCAUGGUUGGAUCAUGGCUGUAAUUUAUGGUACAGGUGUCUAAAGGGGGAGGUGUUUAAUGCUUUCGUCAAGGUGAUUCCAAACUUUUACAGCUGCGAAGCGAAUGUUGAAUUUACCAUAGUUCAAUUCCAUUAAUUUGUUGACUAAAGCAAGAAAACUGGCUUGGGACAAAAUGUUACCAUUCAAGGGUAAACAAUAUAGUGUACAUAUUGUGUCAAAAGAGGUGAGCAGUCUGGAUCAGUGUAGGAAGUUGAGUGAUAAAGCUGCUACAUGAAAUACAUGUACCUAUAUCAGUCUCUUGGUCAGCUGGCAGUUCAUAUACUUUCUCCCAUGUGAGCAAUACAGAUCGCUGUCUUAGUAAAGAAGAGAGAAUACACCUUUUUUUCUAAUCAUAGUAACAACCAGGGGGAAAAUUUGUGAAUUUCAUUUAGGAUGUUGUGCAUGCAUUCUUCCAAUCUUAUUGCCUGGUAAGAAAAUGUUGGGUUUUUUUCCCAACUAGAAAAUUAAUUGUUGUUAACAUCAUCAAAAUGACAGCAACCUAUCUUUUAAACCAUUCAAUUUCAAAGUUUUCAUUGACUUGUGUUGCUGAGAGCUACUUGUAACUUUAGCCAAGGUAAAUGAACUAGCUUAUUUCAUGACUGAAUAUUAGACUCAUGUUCAAUUUUGUUGAAUUGUGUGUAUAGCUGAGUGCUUAGGAUGCAUCUUGCCUCUAAGCCAACCAAACCACACCACUUAUUGUUACAUUAUUUUUGCAGUUUUUUGCCUGAAUUUUCCUUCCAGCAACAGGAGAAAUUACUAGUAACUCUAAAGUAAAUCCAAUCAUACAUGAUUCAGAGGACAAUUUUGAUAUUACAUAAUAAUAUUACUAAAAGACAGAAAGCUUUUUGUUUUGUGAAAAUGACUGCAUUCCAUUCAUUUUUUUUUCUGACAGUGAAUGUUCUUUAUUCCUGUCCUGAAGUCAUUUUAUAAAAUGGAGUACAGUUUACAGCUUGUGAUUUAAUGAUAAGCUGUCCAAGACUGGGGUAAAAAAUUAAUGUUGCUCACAAGUGAUAUUCAACUUUCAUUCAUACCAGCUUAAUGGCUUCUUUGUAAUUCCACUUGAAAUAAGAAGGUGGCAAAUGCAAUUAAUUGUUGAAAUACGAAACACAGUGGCUGUCUUUAGUCAAUGGAAAUGAUGGUGGAGGCUUGUAAUUUGUAUCUUGAUAUUGGUCUUAAUAAAAAAUAAUGGUGUAAAAGACAUUUUCUUCUUGGGCAAAUGAAAAUAAAAACUUAUUCAAAUUUUGCACCAAUCUGUGGGUUGUUGUUUUUUAUUUCAGUUGAAUAUCCUAAAGCAUUUUCUUCUCUUUGUUAAAAGAUCAGUAACAUUUUGAGUCUAUUAGUUUGAGAAAUAGUACUGUGUUUUAAUUUGCCAUUAUCAUUUUGUAUGCUGUAUGUAAAAAUUGUGUUCAACAGGAAAUUACAAUUAAA